RNAcentral lists this ribosomal RNA (463 nucleotides) under Vreelandella stevensii. Its description in RNAcentral is "partial 16S ribosomal RNA". It matches the Rfam family "Bacterial small subunit ribosomal RNA", at positions 340 to 795 of the family's 1533-position model. Lineage: Bacteria; Pseudomonadati; Pseudomonadota; Gammaproteobacteria; Oceanospirillales; Halomonadaceae. The record is from RNAcentral.
CACGGGUGGCUGCAGUGGGGAAUAUUGGACAAUGGGCGAAAGCCUGAUCCAGCCAUGCCGCGUGUGUGAAGAAGGCCUUCGGGUUGUAAAGCACUUUCAGUGGGGAAGAAAGCCUUGGGGCUAAUACCCUCGAGGAAGGACAUCACCCACAGAAGAAGCACCGGCUAACUCCUUGCCAGCAGCCGCGGUAAUACGGAGGGUGCGAGCGUUAAUCGGAAUUACUGGGCGUAAAGCGCGCGUAGGCGGUCUGAUAAGCCGGUUGUGAAAGCCCCGGGCUCAACCUGGGAACGGCAUCCGGAACUGUCAGGCUAGAGUGAAGGAGAGGAAGGUAGAAUUCCCGGUGUAGCGGUGAAAUGCGUAGAGAUCGGGAGGAAUACCAGUGGCGAAGGCGGCCUUCUGGACUGACACUGACGCUGAGGUGCGAAAGCGUGGGUAGCAAACAGGAUUAGAUACCCUUGUAGUC